UGCAAGUGAGUGAACGUAACUAACAGUUCCUGCAAAACAGAUCGUUAGAUAAAACCGUGCCCCAGGCGUGUCAAGAUUUCAACACUUGGGUCACCCAACCUUCCGAAUAAGAUUUCAAGCUUUCAAUCUUAUAAACAUGCAUUGGAAGGGACCUGUAUGUCUUAAAAUGCAAGAUUCUUUAUCAAAAAUAUCUGGAUGUUUUUGC
RNAcentral lists this long non-coding RNA (205 nucleotides) under Lathyrus oleraceus (garden pea). RNAcentral describes it as "Pisum sativum (pea) long non-coding RNA (PSAT_LNC035952)". Lineage: Eukaryota; Viridiplantae; Streptophyta; Magnoliopsida; Fabales; Fabaceae. The record is from RNAcentral.